GACAUUCCCCAUUCUUGCAUUUCUUCAUCUGUGUGAUGAAUUGCUAAGCUGUAUUCCCUACCUUCUCCUAACUCCAUAACUCGAAUCUCACAGUUCCCAGGAUUAUUUAGGUGCUCAAAUUGUUCAACUGUCCACUUGAACCACUUCAUGAGGAAUACACGACAAGUUAAUCCAUGUGAUACAAUUAUGAGAUUUAGGUCAUGUGAAGGGUCAUGG
This 216-nucleotide unclassified non-coding RNA is filed under the name Hevea brasiliensis (rubber tree). Lineage: Eukaryota; Viridiplantae; Streptophyta; Magnoliopsida; Malpighiales; Euphorbiaceae. The record is from RNAcentral.